RNAcentral lists this small nucleolar RNA (134 nucleotides) under Lupinus albus (white lupine). RNAcentral's name for it is "Small nucleolar RNA Z247". It matches the Rfam family "Small nucleolar RNA Z247". From Rfam's summary of the family: Z247 is a member of the C/D class of snoRNA which contain the C (UGAUGA) and D (CUGA) box motifs. The record is from Rfam by way of RNAcentral. Lineage: Eukaryota; Viridiplantae; Streptophyta; Magnoliopsida; Fabales; Fabaceae.
AAUCUCAAACUCUGAUCUGCUCAUUCAAACUCUGAAUGGUUUGGAUUCUGAAUAUAAUCCUGUAGUUGUCAAAUUAUCUGAUCAAACUACACUCAGUUGGGUUGAUCUACAGGCUCAAUUGCUAACAUUUGACA